UCCAGAGGCGGUACUUGAAAAAUUAGAGAACCACCAUAUGUCCAAAGUCUUCUCUGAUGUUAUGUUAUGUGUCGUAUGUGUGUUUACACUAAGUACUUGAAUGGUGCAUGUCCUUUGAUGUCUCAGUGUUUGGAAUCACUUGGUGAGGGACAGUGUUAGCUGUAUCUGUGGGUGGUCAAUUAGUCAACUGCUCUAAUCUUGAGGGCAUGUUUCUAGAUUAGACCCAGCAUUAUUCUGGGGCACCUAGGUAAGCUGCACUACUAUUGUCAUAUGUAAAUGUUAUUGUUAUGUUAUAGAAUAACUAUGGUAUUAGUCAGAACUGCUUACUGAAUUCUUAUGUGACCUUGGUGCUUGGUUGAAGCAGUUAUCCAAUUUUCAGAAAACUAUCAGUAUUGCAAUACCUAUUUCCAGUGUGAAUCAUUGGGCAGGUGUAUUCACUAAUUUAAGCCUCUUAGAAGGUCCGGUUUGGAACGCGAGAAUUUUUCUGGGUUCCAGAUUGAAUUAUUUCCUGCGAAAUUCUUCUUGUCCCAAACAUGCCCUAAAAGUUUAUUCAUCCACUUCUUCUGUCAGCCAUCUGUAAAGAUGGUGGAUUUGACAACCUACUGAAAGUGGUAUUGUCAAACCGGGUUUCAUAAUGAAAGAAAGUUGUCACUUAAUCUCUAAGUGUUUCUCUUAUGGGUAUUCUCACAUUUGAGAAUCUUGGAAUAAGGUUUUCUAAGUAUGGUACCCUCUAGUUAUGGUCGGUAUGAUGAGAAGGAUGGCUAGUUAGUCCAUGUCAUUUCCGAAGACACUUUUCUGAAUACAAUAGUCAAAAAUAUACAAACAUGUGCUGGUUACAUUUUGCGCAAUCACCUACCGUUACCAUACCCCUUGUAUGUAUUCUGUGACAUCCUAUUGAGCACAUGCUGAUUCUUUAUUCUUGAUUUGCCUUAGAAACUAAGGAUCAUGUGUUAAUCAGCAAACAAAGCAUGCCACCUAUCUUUUUUUUUCGAUAAGGGGGGACUCCCCGGCCUCUGCAUCAGAACGAUGCAUACGGCCACCUCAAUAAAUAAAAUAGGUUCAACAAAGUCGUAUAGUCUUCAACAAAAUAAAAGCAAGCUCACCUAGAACCUCGAAGCUAAACCAAGAAAAAA
RNAcentral lists this long non-coding RNA (1133 nucleotides) under Triticum aestivum (bread wheat). RNAcentral describes it as "long non-coding RNA (TAES_LNC003564)". Lineage: Eukaryota; Viridiplantae; Streptophyta; Magnoliopsida; Poales; Poaceae. The record is from RNAcentral.